This 253-nucleotide ribosomal RNA is filed under the name uncultured bacterium. RNAcentral describes it as "partial 16S ribosomal RNA". It matches the Rfam family "Bacterial small subunit ribosomal RNA", at positions 524 to 776 of the family's 1533-position model. The record is from RNAcentral.
UACGUAGGGUGCGAGCGUUAAUCGGAAUUACUGGGCGUAAAGCGUGCGCAGGUGGUUUGUUAAGUCUGCUGUGAAAGCCCCGGGCUCAACCUGGGAAUGGCAGUAGAAACUGGCGAGCUAGAGUGUGGCAGAGGGGGGUGGAAUUCCACGUGUAGCAGUGAAAUGCGUAGAGAUGUGGAGGAACACCAAUGGCGAAGGCAGCCCCCUGGGUUAACACUGACACUCAGGCACGAAAGCGUGGGGAGCAAACAGG